This 253-nucleotide ribosomal RNA is filed under the name uncultured bacterium. Its description in RNAcentral is "partial 16S ribosomal RNA". It matches the Rfam family "Bacterial small subunit ribosomal RNA", at positions 524 to 776 of the family's 1533-position model. The record is from RNAcentral.
AACGUAGGAGGCAAGCGUUGUCCGGAUUUAUUGGGUUUAAAGGGUGCGUAGGUGGUCAUGUAAGUCAGUGGUGGAAUACGGCAGCUUAACUGUCGAGGUGCCAUUGAUACUGCGUGACUUGAGUACAGACGAGGUAGGCGGAAUUGACGGUGUAGCGGUGAAAUGCUUAGAUAUCGUCAAGAACACCGAUAGCGAAGGCAGCUUACUAGACUGUAACUGACACUGAGGCACGAAAGUGUGGGGAUCAAACAGG